This 87-nucleotide transfer RNA is filed under the name Candidatus Onthousia faecigallinarum. RNAcentral's name for it is "tRNA-Leu". It matches the Rfam family "tRNA". Rfam says of the family: Transfer RNA (tRNA) molecules are approximately 80 nucleotides in length. Their secondary structure includes four short double-helical elements and three loops (D, anti-codon, and T loops). Lineage: Bacteria; Bacillati; Bacillota; Bacilli. The record is from RNAcentral.
GCGAGGAUGGCGGAAUCGGUAGACGCGCUACUUUGAGGGGGUAGUGAUGGAAACAUCGUGGGAGUUCAAAUCUCCUUUCUCGCACCA